RNAcentral lists this long non-coding RNA (570 nucleotides) under Pongo abelii (Sumatran orangutan). RNAcentral's name for it is "lincRNA". The record is from RNAcentral. Lineage: Eukaryota; Metazoa; Chordata; Mammalia; Primates; Hominidae.
GCUGGUGUGCAGUGCUGUGAUCUCAGCUCACUGCAACCUCCAUCUCCCAGCUUCCAGCGAUUCUCCUGCCUUAGCCCCCUGAGUAGCUGGGAUUAGAGGCGCCCGCCACCAUGCCUGGCUAAUUUUUGUAUUUUUAGUAGAGACAGGGUUUCACUGCGUUGGCCAGGCUGGUCUCAAACUCCUGACCUCAAGUGAUUCUCCAGCCUCUGCCUCCCAAAGUGCUGGGAUUACCAUGCCUGGCCUGUGACUGAGUCUUAGGUGAUGGAAUGUGAGUGGAAGUGAUACACAUCACUUGUUGGAACUUCAAUGCAGAGGGUUGAAGUAAUAUUCUUCAGUUGAAGAGACUAAAACAACUUUACCAGAUUGAAACACUCAAGACAAAGGAGCCCAGGAAGCAAAAUUCAUCAGAAAAUUAGAGGAAGUUUUCAUGGAGUUGCUGUUGAUUCUAAGGAAGCCAACAGCCGUGUUGUGAGUACCCAAUGGAUAGUCUGUUGUGGCAGAAAACUGAUGUCUCCAGCCAACAGCACUGAGGCCCUGAGACCUGCCAACAGUCAUGUUACAUCUCAAGGA